GCUUGCUCCUUUGACGUUAGCGGCGGACGGGUGAGUAACACGUGGGUAACCUACCUAUAAGACUGGGAUAACUUCGGGAAACCGGAGCUAAUACCGGAUAACAUAUUGAACCGCAUGGUUCAAUAGUGAAAGGCGGCUUUGCUGUCACUUAUACAUGGAGCCGCGCCGUAUUAGCUAGUUGGUAAGGUAACGGCUUACCAAGGCAACAAUACGUAUCCGACCUGAAAGGGUGAUCGUCCACCCUGGAACUGAGACACAGUCCAAACUCCUACGGGAGGCAGCAAUAGGGAAUCUUCCGCAAUGGGCGAAAGCCUGACGGACCAACGCCGCGUGAGUGAUGAAGGUCUUCGGAUCGUAAAACUCUGUUAUCAAGGAAGAACAGAUGUGUAAUUAACUGUGCACAUCUUGACGGUACCUGAUCAGAAAGCCACGGCUAACUACGUGCCACCAGCCGCGGUAAUACGUAGGUGGCAAGCGUUAUCCGUGAAUUAUUGGGCGUAAAGCGCGCGUAUGCGGUUUUUUAAGUCUGAUGUGAAAGCCCACGGCUCAACCGUGGAGGGACAUUGGAAACUGUGAAAACUUGAGUGCAGAAGAGGAAAGUGGAAUUCCAUGU
Molecule: ribosomal RNA, 613 nt
Filed under: Staphylococcus sp.
Lineage: Bacteria; Bacillati; Bacillota; Bacilli; Caryophanales; Staphylococcaceae
Description: bacterial SSU rRNA
Rfam family: Bacterial small subunit ribosomal RNA
Source: RNAcentral